Molecule: ribosomal RNA, 497 nt
Filed under: uncultured Glomeromycotina
Lineage: Eukaryota; Fungi; Glomeromycota
Description: partial small subunit ribosomal RNA
Rfam family: Eukaryotic small subunit ribosomal RNA
Source: RNAcentral
CCAAUAGCGUAUAUUAAAGUUGUUGCAGUUUAAAAGCUCGUAGUUGAAUUUUAGGCCUGGCCGGGCGGUCCGUCUUUGGCGAGUACUGUCCUGUGUCGGGUCCACCUUCUGGUGAACCAGUAUGUCCUUUAUUGGGUGUGCCGGGGAGCCAGGACCAUUACCUUGAAAAAAUUAGAGUGUUUAAAGCGGGCAUUUGCUUGAAUAGAUUAGCAUGGAAUAAUAGAAUAGGACGUUGUGGUUCUAUUUUGUUGGUUUCUAGGACCACCGUAAUGAUUAAUAGGGAUAGUUGGGGGCAUUAGUAUUCAAUUGUCAGAGGUGAAAUUCUUGGAUUUAUUGAAGACUAACUAUUGCGAAAGCAUUUGCCAAGGAUGUUUUCAUUAAUCAAGAACGAAAGUUAGGGGAUCGAAGACGAUCAGAUACCGUCGUAGUCUUAACCAUAAACUAUGCCGACUAGGAAUCGGGCGACGUUAUUUUCAUGACUCGCUCGGCGCCUUAUG